UGGAACGGAACUUUACCGACAAUAAAUGAAGUACGUUACAGUACAGGUGAAUUAAGUACAGGUAAGUUAAGUAGAGGUAAAUUAAGUACAGGUAAAUUAAGUAGAGAUAAACUAAGCAGAGGUAAGUUAAGUACAGGUAAGUUAAGUACAGGUAAAUUAAGUAGAGGUAAGUUAAGUACAGGUAAGUUAAGUACAGGUAAAUUAAGUACAGGUAAAUUAAGUAGAGGUAAGUUAAGUACAGGUAAGUUAAGUACAGGUAAGUUAAGUACAGGUAAGUUAAGUAGAGGUAAGUUAAUUACAGGUAAAUUAAGUACAGGUAAGUUAAGUAGAGGUAAGUUAAGUAGAGGUAAAUUAAUUACAGGUAAAUUAAGUACAGGUAAAUUAAGUAGAGGUAAAUUAAGUACAGGUAAAUUAAGUAGAGGUAAAUUAAGUAGAGGUAAGUUAAGUAGAGGUAAGUUAAGUACAGAUAAGUUAAGUAGAGGUAAAUUAAGUACAGGUAAAUUAAGUAGAGGUAAAUUAAGUACAGGUAAGUUAAGUACAGGUAAAUUAAGUACAGGUAAAUUAAGUACAGGUAAGUUAAGUACAGGUAAAUUAAGUACAGGUAAGUUAAGUACAGGUAAAUUAAGUACAGGUAAGUUAAGUACAGGUAAAUUAAGUAGAGGUAAAUUAAGUAGAGGUAAAUUAAGUACAGGUAAGUUAAUUACAGGUAAAUUAAGUAGAGGUAAAUUAAGUACAGGUAAGUUAAUUACAGGUAAAUUAAGUAGAGGUAAAUUAAGUAGAGGUACGCUGGAAUUCGGCAACAGUGCAGUCAAGGAUCAAAGUUUGAUCAGCACCAGUUCAUCAAACGACCCAUUUGUUCA
Acanthochromis polyacanthus (spiny chromis) is the source of this 860-nucleotide long non-coding RNA. RefSeq lists it as uncharacterized. The transcript is spliced from 10 exons. NCBI's taxonomy places the organism in Eukaryota, Metazoa, Chordata, Actinopteri, Pomacentridae. The record is from RefSeq and is a predicted model, not a curated record.